Molecule: small nuclear RNA, 107 nt
Organism: Jaculus jaculus (lesser Egyptian jerboa)
Lineage: Eukaryota; Metazoa; Chordata; Mammalia; Rodentia; Dipodidae
Source: RefSeq, a predicted model, not a curated record
GUGCUCGCUUCGGCAGCACAUAUACUAAAAUUGGAACAACACAGAGAAGAUUAGCAUGGCCCCUGUGCAAGGAUGACAUGCAAAUUCGGGAAGUGUUCCAUGUUUUU